AGCAGCCGCGGUAAUUCCAGCUCCAAUAGCGUAUAUUAAAGUUGUUGCAGUUAAAAAGCUCGUAGUUGAAUUUCGGGAUUGGCGCAUCGGUCGUGCCUUACGGGGUAUGAACUGGUGCAGUCAAUUUCUCACCUUCUGGAGAACCGCGAUGUCCUUAAUUGGGUGCCGCGGGGAACCAGGACCUUUACUUUGAAAAAAUUAGAGUGUUUAAAGCAGGCAUUUUUGCUUGAAUACAUUAGCAUGGAAUAAUAAAAUAGGACGGCAUGGUUCUAUUUUGUUGGUUUCUAGGACCACCGUAAUGAUUAAUAGGGAUAGUUGGGGGCAUUAGUAUUCAAUUGUCAGAGGUGAAAUUCUUGGAUUUAUUGAAGACUAACUACUGCGAAAGCAUUUGCCAAGGAUGUUUUCAUUAAUCAAGAACGAAAGUUAGGGGAUCGAAGACGAUCGGAUACCGUCGUAGUCUUAACCAUAAACUAUGCCGACUAGGAAUCAGACGAUGUUAAUUUUUUAAUGACUCGUUUGG
This 520-nucleotide ribosomal RNA is filed under the name uncultured Entrophospora. Its description in RNAcentral is "SSU rRNA". It matches the Rfam family "Eukaryotic small subunit ribosomal RNA", at positions 569 to 1083 of the family's 1831-position model. The record is from RNAcentral. Lineage: Eukaryota; Fungi; Glomeromycota; Glomeromycetes; Entrophosporales; Entrophosporaceae.